Molecule: ribosomal RNA, 267 nt
Filed under: uncultured bacterium
Lineage: Bacteria
Description: partial 16S ribosomal RNA
Rfam family: Bacterial small subunit ribosomal RNA
Source: RNAcentral
UACGUAGGGGGCUAGCGUUGUCCGGAAUCAUUGGGCGUAAAGAGCGUGUAGGCGGUCCGGUAAGUCCGCUGCGAAAGUCGGGGGCUCAACCCUCGAAUGCCGGUGGAUACUGUCGGGCUAGAGUGCGGAAGAGGCGAGUGGAAUUCCUGGUGUAGCGGUGAAAUGCGCAGAUAUCAGGAGGAACACCUAUUGCGAAGGCAGCUCGCUGGGACGUAACUGACGUUGAGACGCGAAAGCGUGGGGAGGCAAACAGGAGUUAGAAACCCU